AGUCUUGUCCCCUUCAGGCUGAGCAGCCCCAGCUCCCUCAGCCUAUCCUCUUAGAAGUGCUCCAGCCCUUGGCUCAUCCUCGUGGUCCUGCUCUGAACUGGUUCCAGCAGUUUUUCGUUCUUCAGCUGGACUGUGGCCAUGUGGAAUGUUUUGGGUUGUGCUUUUGCCUUUGCAUGCUGAAAGACUUCCUGUGUUACCUUAGUACGAGCUGACCAUCCGUACUACCGUCGCCUUGAAUGCCUCCAACCAGCAGUGUUUGCUGCCAGACAGACACCUUGAGAAGACAGAGGACAUGGUUAAGUUCAUGAAGGAUAUCUUGGAUGGUGCUGCUGAAGCACAGGCUGGUGAUGGACUUCUGCAACGAAGCAAGAGAGUCAUCUAUGAGGCCAAGGCUGCUGUAAUGGUAGAGUUCAUUGCUUAUUCAGUGAGGUGAUGCUCUUGUCAGUCAAGAAGGACUUAGUUGCAGAGGCUUUGGAAAUGCUUUGAUGUAAGCUUGUUGCCAUGCUGUGCCUAGUGUAUCUAUUGUCACUAUUUAGAACUAGGCUUAAACCAAAUGAACUUCUUGAUUAAAACAGCCAAUCAUGUCUGCCACA
Pogoniulus pusillus (Red-fronted tinkerbird) is the source of this 593-nucleotide RNA transcript. It is a transcript of the gene named protein disulfide-isomerase TMX3-like, with no coding region annotated. The record is from RefSeq and is a predicted model, not a curated record. Lineage: Eukaryota; Metazoa; Chordata; Aves; Piciformes; Lybiidae. The transcript has 3 exons.